This 449-nucleotide ribosomal RNA is filed under the name uncultured bacterium. Its description in RNAcentral is "partial 16S ribosomal RNA". It matches the Rfam family "Bacterial small subunit ribosomal RNA", at positions 29 to 523 of the family's 1533-position model. The record is from RNAcentral.
AGCGAACGCUGGCGGCAGGCUUAACACAUGCAAGUCGAGCGGGCCCUUCGGGGUCAGCGGCGGACGGGUGAGUAACGCGUGGGAACGUGCCUUCUGGUUCGGAAUAACCCUGGGAAACUAGGGCUAAUACCGGAUACGCCCUUUUGGGGAAAGGUUUACUGCCGGAAGAUCGGCCCGCGUCUGAUUAGCUAGUUGGUGGGGUAACGGCCUACCAAGGCGACGAUCAGUAGCUGGUCUGAGAGGAUGAUCAGCCACACUGGGACUGAGACACGGCCCAGACUCCUACGGGAGGCAGCAGUGGGGAAUAUUGGACAAUGGGCGCAAGCCUGAUCCAGCCAUGCCGCGUGAGUGAUGAAGGCCUUAGGGUUGUAAAGCUCUUUUAUCCGGGACGAUAAUGACGGUACCGGAGGAAUAAGCCCCGGCUAACUUCGUGCCAGCAGCCGCAGUAA